UUAGGAAUCUUGGGCAAUGGGGGAAACCCUGACCCAGCCAUGCCGCGUGUGUGAAGAAGGCCUUCGGGUUGUAAAGCACUUUCAAGGGUAAAGAAAAGCCUGGGGCGAAUACCUCCGGGUCUUGACGUUAGCCCUAGAAGAAGCACCGGCUAACUCCGUGCCAGCAGCCGCGGUAAUACGGAGGGUGCGAACGUUAAUCGGAAUUACUGGGCGUAAAGCGCACGUAGGCGGUUCGUUAAGUGAGAUGUGAAAUCCCCGGGCUUAACCUGGGAACUGCAUUUCAUACUGGCGAACUAGAGUCUGGUAGAGGGGGGUGGAAUUUCCUGUGUAGCGGUGAAAUGCGUAGAUAUAGGAAGGAACAUCAGUGGCGAAGGCGGCCCCCUGGAUCAAGACUGACGCU
Molecule: ribosomal RNA, 400 nt
Filed under: uncultured bacterium
Lineage: Bacteria
Description: bacterial SSU rRNA
Rfam family: Bacterial small subunit ribosomal RNA
Source: RNAcentral